AACGAACGCUGGCGGCAUGCCUAACACAUGCAAGUCGAACGAGACCUUCGGGUCUAGUGGCGCACGGGUGCGUAACACGUGGGAAUUUGCCUCGGGGUAUGGAAUAACUCAGGGAAACUUGAGCUAAUACCAUAUAAUGUCUUCGGACCAAAGAUUUAUCGCCCUGAGAUAAGCCCGCGUAGGAUUAGCUAGUUGGUGGGGUAAAGGCUCACCAAGCCGACGAUCUGUAGCUGGUCUGAGAGGACGACCAGCCACACUGGGACUGAGACACGGCCCAGACUCCUACGGGAGGCAGCAGUGGGGAAUAUUGGACAAUGGGCGAAAGCCUGAUCCAGCCAUGCCGCGUGUGUGAAGAAGGUCUUCGGAUUGUAAAGCACUUUAAG
This 383-nucleotide ribosomal RNA is filed under the name uncultured bacterium. RNAcentral describes it as "bacterial SSU rRNA". It matches the Rfam family "Bacterial small subunit ribosomal RNA", at positions 29 to 439 of the family's 1533-position model. The record is from RNAcentral.